This 54-nucleotide non-coding RNA is filed under the name Pan troglodytes (chimpanzee). The record is from RNAcentral. Lineage: Eukaryota; Metazoa; Chordata; Mammalia; Primates; Hominidae.
GCAACGUGUUGGACCUUCCUGAGCUUCUCAGAAGACAGAGGAUUUUCUUUUGAG